Molecule: ribosomal RNA, 497 nt
Filed under: uncultured bacterium
Lineage: Bacteria
Description: partial 16S ribosomal RNA
Rfam family: Bacterial small subunit ribosomal RNA
Source: RNAcentral
GAUGAACGCUGGCGGCGUGCCUAAUACAUGCAAGUCGAGCGAACGGACGAGAAGCUUGCUUCUCUGAUGUUAGCGGCGGACGGGUGAGUAACACGUGGAUAACCUACCUAUAAGACUGGGAUAACUUCGGGAAACCGGAGCUAAUACCGGAUAAUAUUUUGAACCGCAUGGUUCAACAGUGAAAGACGGUCUUGCUGUCACUUAUAGAUGUAUCCGCGCUGGAUUAGCUAGUUGGUAAGGUAACGGCUUACCAAGGCAACGCUGCAUAGCCGACCUGAGAGGGAGAAUGGCUAGACGGGAAGAGAGAAACGGCCCAGAGACCGGCAGGGGGCAGCGGUAGAGAAUCUUACGCGAUGCAGCAGACGGUGACGGAGCAAAGCCGCGGGAGUGAUGAAGCUGCACCGAUCGGAAAGCGCUGAUAGUAGGCGGGAUGAAAUCUGCAUGUGACAGUGCAGAUCUUGACGGUACCUGACCAGAAAGCCACGGCUAACUACGUG